GAUGAAGAACGUAGCGAAAUGCGAUAAGUAAUGUGAAUUGCAGAAUUCAGUGAAUCAUCGAAUCUUUGAACGCACAUUGCGCCCGCCAGUAUUCUGGCGGGCAUGCCUGUUCGAGCGUCAUUUCAACUAUCAAGCCCCCGGCUUGUGUUGGGGACCUGCGGCUGCCGCAGGCCCUGAAAAGCAGUGGCGGGCUCGCUGUCACACCGAGCGUAGUAGCAUACAUCUCGCUCUGGGCGUGCUGCGGGUUCCGGCCGUUAAACCACCUUCAUAAUCCAAGGUUGACCUCGGAUCAGGUAGGAAGACCCGCUGAACUUAAGCAUAUCAAUAAGCGGAGGA
Molecule: unclassified non-coding RNA, 336 nt
Filed under: soil metagenome
Description: partial contains 5.8S ribosomal RNA, internal transcribed spacer 2, and large subunit ribosomal RNA
Rfam family: 5.8S ribosomal RNA (bases 1-120)
Source: RNAcentral